This is an RNA transcript of Spinacia oleracea (spinach), 1848 nucleotides long. RefSeq lists it as uncharacterized. NCBI's taxonomy places the organism in Eukaryota, Viridiplantae, Streptophyta, Magnoliopsida, Caryophyllales, Amaranthaceae. The record is from RefSeq and is a predicted model, not a curated record. The transcript is spliced from 6 exons.
UAAAUCAACCUGAGCGUUGCCCAUUUCAUGUGUUGGGUCAUGUCAUGUGAGUAUGUGACCCUUAAACAAAGCCAUUUCCCUCGAUUUUGCUCGCCCAAUUUCCCAUCCUUCACUUACUUUACUUUGUUUCUCUCCUUCUGUUUUCGAUUCUCAAAAAAAAAAUCCAAUUCUCAAAUUAAUUGAUAAAAUCCUCUUAGCUUUCAAAUUGUCACCGAAAUCGAAGGCUUGGAAGCUCCACUGUUAACUCACUCAUUUUAGCAAAGUUGGUGUUUGGGUUUCUAGCAAUAAAGAUAGAAGUUCAAUAAUUUGUUGCAAAAUCGUGAAAUUAGUUUAGAGUUUUGCUAUGUAACCUAUGCAAGAGAAUGAAGGUGCAGAUUUUUUUUCCCAUGUUUAAUUAGUUAAAAAAGAGGUCAUACUGUUUUUCUGGGUUUGAAGAUAAAAAAGGAACUGGGAUUUCUGAGUUGUUGAUUACAUAUGACAUUGAACUCAUUGAUUGUGUUUGUGGGUUUGAGUUUUGAUAAUGUCAUGGGAAAAUGUAAAGUAUUUAGGGAUGCACAGAAGGUAUUUGAUGAAAUGUUUGGGAGAAAUGUUGUUUCUUGGACUUGUAUCCCGUGUAUGCUUGAUGGGUAUGUUUACUUUGAGGACUUAUUAGUGCAGAAAGGGAUUCGAUGCAAUGCUGAAGAGAAAUCAGGUUUCAUGGAAUGCCAUGAAAAUGAACCAGAAGACAGAGAUGAAGGAGGAAGAAGGGAAAAUCAAAAGAGAAAGGAAGGAAGCAAAUGACGGAGACAUAAAUAUAUGGGGAAGAAAGGGGAGAGCUUAAACUAUAAUUGGUGACGUGGUAUAACCGUCAUAAAUAUCCGACCGUUUAUGUUUUGGCGCUUAAAAACACAAUUCAACUCUUUCCCCUGUUACUCUUCUCUGAUCAAACCCAAACACUAAAACAUUCAAGAACAAAUUCUCUCUCCUCUCCCUGUAACUCAACUCUGAUUAAACCCAAACACUAAAAUCUUUCAAGAUUGUGAUCGCCAUGGAUAACCGGAAGGGCAAGAACGAAGUAGAUGAAUACGAUCAAGAACAGCAUAAUGAAGAUGAAUCUGGUAAAAGAAUCAAAGGGCCAGAUGAGCCCCUCCGACAGGUAAGUACAGACUUAGUACUGGCAGUUCCAUGUAGUCAAAUUCAACGAUCUCAGAGACUAAGUGAUGAAGGUUCUGGAAGGAAGAGAACGAGGGAAACUGGUUCAAGUAGCCAGAGUCAAUUUCAUCAUCAGUUGGAAUCUGGUUCAGAUAUUUUCAGUUUGUUCCCCGCCUACCUAAUUGCUCAUGCUUAUGGUAUUGAGGAAAAUGUGUAUAGGUCAACAAGCCACUCAACCUGUAGACAACCUCACUCCGCCAGCAUGGUUGUGGGGUGACUAUAAUCAGUCGUUGGAGUCUAUUAUCAGAAACGCAAGGAACACUGCUUUAAGUGGCCAACGUCCGAAACCAAGUGAGAAUUCAUCCUUAUGGCUAAAUCCAUCGAUCUUUUCUCCCAUUCGAAAACUUUGAUUUAAUACAGACCUAAACAAGCCAAUUACAGAAUCAGGCAAAACACAAGAUCAAAGGACCAUGCUAAUACAGAUACUUCCCCAACUCAGUGAUCUUAUUGUAGCAGAUUAACUUUUUCAAUUUUGUAGCUCAACUUGCUGUUUUCUCUAGCUGAUUUCUAUAAGAAUCAUGCAGUGCAUGAUCUUCCUGAAUUUACUCUGCUAUCAAGCAGCUAUUAUUUGAAUUGUUUUUGUACAGAAUAAGGAACUUUAAUUCGUGAUUUGGAAAUGUGGGUGAUACUCACUUAGCAAUCUACACCUUUACAUCA